This is a non-coding RNA of Gossypium arboreum, 107 nucleotides long. Lineage: Eukaryota; Viridiplantae; Streptophyta; Magnoliopsida; Malvales; Malvaceae. The record is from Rfam.
AUCCCAUGGAGAGGGCAUUUAUAUAGUAAUUCCUUAAAUCUUUCCCAUGCCUCGUAUAAGGGUUCAUCAUCCAAUUGCUAAAAAGUAGUGAUUUCAUUUCACAACUU